AAAAAGUAGAUGAAACAACACAGCAACAUUUUAGAACAUAAUAAGAAAUGCAUGUAACACCACCACAAAUAACACAUGACAGAGUUAGAAGACCACAAAUUAAAAAUUAAUUUCUUGUUAGCAUUUGCACAUCUCUUCUUUCAUGUAAAUCAUCACGUCUGUCAACUUCACCAGUUUAAGGUAAUAGGACAUUCAAGUUUCACUACUAGAAGGACCUGAUGCCAAAAGAGGAACAUUUGCAGUGCUAUUACCAAUAACUUCAUCCCAAAGCAAACCCAUAAAAAAUUAAGACAAGUUUAAUAACUUCGUCCCAAAGCAAACCCAUAAAAACUUAAAACAAGUUUUCACUAAGGUGCUUGAUAUUGCCUACAAAGGUACCAUGGGAUUAUCAAGCAGACCUCAUAACAUUUCAGAUCGGCCUAGCGAGAAAAUACAACAUAUGUCCAUCUAGGUUUAAGAUCAAGCCUGAGGAAGAGAUAGAUAAUCAAUAUAACAGAGAUAGAUAAUCCUAUUUCAUUAUUUAUGCCUCAAACUUGUAAGGUCAAGACAAACAAUGACUCGUCAAAUCUAAAUAAAUACUCCUCUGAAACAAGUGUAAUGUUGCACUCCUCUCUUCAGUGGAACAGUUAAACCAGAACAUAUUUUUGGCCGUCAUACAGAAUUAAGGCAGCAGUAAGCAAACAUAAAAAGGGAGGCACAAUCACACUUUUCAGCAAUUUGCACAUCAAGCAAUUUGUUAUCUAUUAAUUAAUAUGUUAUCUCAUAUGGGAAUAGAAAUUUAAACAUCAAGCAAUCAGUGUUUAAUGCAUUCAGCUUUUACCUCCUACUUUGAGAAGGCAAAUAUUUGAUACAAGUUUAAAUGGUAGUUACAAAUCAGA
RNAcentral lists this unclassified non-coding RNA (878 nucleotides) under Hevea brasiliensis (rubber tree). The record is from RNAcentral. Lineage: Eukaryota; Viridiplantae; Streptophyta; Magnoliopsida; Malpighiales; Euphorbiaceae.